RNAcentral lists this long non-coding RNA (255 nucleotides) under Homo sapiens (human). RNAcentral describes it as "HSALNT0108866". Lineage: Eukaryota; Metazoa; Chordata; Mammalia; Primates; Hominidae. The record is from RNAcentral.
CUGAGGAGUUCAGGCAGCCAAAUUCCCUGUAAAAGAAAUAGGUUUUAUGGAUUCCUUGGCCAUUGUGUUUUCUCUGUAGCCCAAGUUCUGUUUGUCUUGAUUCUUCUUUCUCUCACUACUGGUUGCAUUUUCUGUUCUCUACCAUGAUUUGCAUUGUUUGCUACACUUAGGACCUGCAUGGGCUAUAUCAGUAGGAAGAUUGACUAAGUUCUUCCUGGUGGAAUGGGUUCCUUCCUGCUUAGUGUAUACGUUGAG